AUUGAACGCUGGCGGCAGGCUUAACACAUGCAAGUCGAACGAUGACUCUCUAGCUUGCUAGAGAUGAUUAGUGGCGGACGGGUGAGUAACAUUUAGGAAUCUACCUAGUAGUGGGGGAUAGCUCGGGGAAACUCGAAUUAAUACCGCAUACGACCUACGGGUGAAGGGGGGCGCAAGCUCUUGCUAUUAGAUGAGCCUAAAUCAGAUUAGCUAGUUGGUGGGGUAAAGGCCUACCAAGGCGACGAUCUGUAACUGGUCUGAGAGGAUGAUCAGUCACACCGGAACUGAGACACGGUCCGGACUCCUACGGGAGGCAGCAGUGGGGAAUAUUGGACAAUGGGGGCAACCCUGAUCCAGCCAUGCCGCGUGUGUGAAGAAGGCCUUUUGGUUGUAAAGCACUUUAAGCAGGGAGGAGAGGCUAAUGGUUAAUACCCAUUAGAUUAGACGUUACCUGCAGAAUAAGCACCGGCUAACGUCUGUGCCAGCAGCCGCGGUAA
Molecule: ribosomal RNA, 497 nt
Filed under: uncultured bacterium
Lineage: Bacteria
Description: bacterial SSU rRNA
Rfam family: Bacterial small subunit ribosomal RNA
Source: RNAcentral